GUUUCCCAGCUCCUGAAUUGGAGCUGCAAAUAUUAGUGCAUGGAAUGCAACCUGUCCAUAGAAGUGAAGAGAAAAGUCAAAGGGAAGAUUUUUUGAGAGCUUAGAGUCAAGCCCAUUUAGUAUAAGAAGCCCUUCUUGAUUGAGCUACAAGAAAAACAGAGAAACCUUAACAAUUUGAUGUCAUCAUCUAAAAAAUGUUCUGCAAACAUGUUGGAAGAGCUUCUCACUUGGGUUCCAAAUCUUGCACGAAUCCAAUGAGGAGAAGCGUCAUGAGGAAUCUUGGUCUCUUUUAGCUUGAAAUGCUUGAACGGAAGAGAAGACACGACCCGAACAUCGGCUCGUAACGUGUUCUUGAAAUGUUCGACAUCGAAAAUGUCGGAGAAUUUACUGCAGAAGUAGCAAAACCCCACUUCUAAAAGCACCCAAAAAGGAGAAAGAAAUGAAAGGGAGAAGAAAAGAAAAGUCAUUUACCUGUCAUCUCUCCAUAUGAGAUUGACCUUCAAAACAGGGACGACCAAAGCAGCCUUAAGAAUCCUAGCAAUCACAACAGCAUCAGCAAUUUGGUUCCUCUGCUGAUUCAAUCCACCGGAAACCAUCACCAUCAAGAAUCUCCUCUUCUCUUUAGAGAUCUUGGCAGAUUCCUUCCUGUAUUCCAAACUGAAAUCAAGACAAGGCCUAUAGCCCUCCCCAUCCGGCUGUUUCCAAAACUCUGUUUCUUCAUCGGAGAGAUUUGAAGCCACUACGUGGACCGGCAACGGCACCAUCACACUGGUCGACAACUUCGGCGAGUUCUGGUGGGUCGAAGAAGCCACUGGAGAAAGCAGAGAGAGGAGAAGACGAGACUGAGAAGAGGACGGCAUUAAAGGGAAGGAAAUUGAGGAUUUGGUAGAACAGGGGUCUGCAUAAAAUGGCGAGGAAUGAAGGAAAUUGACAGUGGAGAUUGCCAAGAAAGCGAGAGAAGUAAGUAGAGAGAGAAAGAAGAGUGAGAGAUAAGGGUUUAGAGUUCUUGGGAGUUUCUUGGGGGAGAAGAUGGAAGUGAGAAUGGUGAGUGAGAGCAAAUCAAAGAAUGGUGGUGGGUUUGGAGUUGAGAAGGAGGCUCUGCUUGUUCUUGGUCUGGCCAUGGCGGAAUGUUUCAUUGUCUCUGUAAUUCUCUGAGUCUUGCAAGAAAGAAGAAGAGGAAGAUGAAGAACAAGAACAUGGGAAAUGGGGUUUUGAAUUUGAUAUCAAAAUUUGACAUUUUUGGCGCUGUUUGCUCUUCCUUGAAUGCAACUCAGAGUAUGACGGUUUUUUCUGUUGAA
Molecule: non-coding RNA, 1298 nt
Organism: Cucurbita pepo subsp. pepo (vegetable marrow)
Lineage: Eukaryota; Viridiplantae; Streptophyta; Magnoliopsida; Cucurbitales; Cucurbitaceae
Source: RefSeq, a predicted model, not a curated record